RNAcentral lists this small nuclear RNA (293 nucleotides) under Erinaceus europaeus (western European hedgehog). RNAcentral describes it as "7SK RNA". It matches the Rfam family "7SK RNA", at positions 1 to 277 of the family's 331-position model. From Rfam's summary of the family: 7SK was discovered as an abundant small nuclear RNA in the mid-70s but a possible function has only recently been suggested. Lineage: Eukaryota; Metazoa; Chordata; Mammalia; Eulipotyphla; Erinaceidae. The record is from Rfam by way of RNAcentral.
GGAUAUGAGGGCGAUCUGGCUGUGACAUCUGUCACCCCAUUGAUUGCCAGGGUUGAUUCGGCUGGUCUGGCUGGCUAGGUGGGUGUCCCCUUCCUUCCUCACCGCUCCAUGUGUGUCCCUCCCGAAGCUCAGCACUUGGUCGAAGAGGAUGGCCUUCCGCGAAUAGAGGCGGACAGGUCUUAGGUCGAGGGUAUACAAGUAGGUGUGCUCCCCUGCUAGAACCUCCAAACAAGCUUUCAAGAUAUUGGAGUUAGUCACAUUUAUAGAAGUAAGAAAAGGGGAGCCAGGCAGUG